This 253-nucleotide ribosomal RNA is filed under the name uncultured bacterium. RNAcentral's name for it is "partial 16S ribosomal RNA". It matches the Rfam family "Bacterial small subunit ribosomal RNA", at positions 524 to 776 of the family's 1533-position model. The record is from RNAcentral.
UACGAAGGGGGCUAGCGUUGCUCGGAAUUACUGGGCGUAAAGCGCACGUAGGCGGCUUUCUAAGUCGGGGGUGAAAUCCUGGAGCUCAACUCCAGAACUGCCCUCGAUACUGGAAAGCUCGAGUCCGGGAGAGGUGAGUGGAACUGCGAGUGUAGAGGUGAAAUUCGUAGAUAUUCGCAAGAACACCAGUGGCGAAGGCGGCUCACUGGCCCGGUACUGACGCUGAGGUGCGAAAGCCAGGGGAGCGAACGGG